RNAcentral lists this ribosomal RNA (301 nucleotides) under uncultured bacterium. RNAcentral's name for it is "partial 16S ribosomal RNA". It matches the Rfam family "Bacterial small subunit ribosomal RNA", at positions 509 to 807 of the family's 1533-position model. The record is from RNAcentral.
CAGCAGCCGCGGUAACACGUAGGGUGCGAGCGUUGUCCGGAAUUAUUGGGCGUAAAGAGCUCGUAGGCGGUCUGUCGCGUCUGCUGUGAAAACCCGAGGCUCAACCUCGGGCCUGCAGUGGGUACGGGCAGACUAGAGUGCGGUAGGGGAGAAUGGAAUUCCUGGUGUAGCGGUGGAAUGCGCAGAUAUCAGGAGGAACACCGAUGGCGAAGGCAGUUCUCUGGGCCGUAACUGACGCUGAGGAGCGAAAGCGUGGGGAGCGAACAGGAUUAGAUACCCGUGUAGUCCCUGUCUCUUAUAC